This is a long non-coding RNA of Oncorhynchus keta (chum salmon), 4423 nucleotides long. RefSeq lists it as uncharacterized. The transcript has 4 exons. Lineage: Eukaryota; Metazoa; Chordata; Actinopteri; Salmoniformes; Salmonidae. The record is from RefSeq and is a predicted model, not a curated record.
AAAGGGGGAAGGGGUGUAGUUAUUUAUUUUCGUGCCUGUAGUUCUAUGGAAAUUCUGAUCAGUUUACAAAUAGUAUGUGUAAUGGAGAACUAAAGGACUGUUUUACUCUUAGGUUUCUGCUUUGGUUUGGGUGGGUUCACCUCUGGGCGUCGGUCAGAACGCAAGGAUGGCAAGACACGGUGAACGGUUGGCUUGUAGUUUCCUGAAGGAACAGAAGACCGUAAAUAACAGCAUGAUAUGUACAGGGCUAUAGCUGGAUCACUAGGAAGGCUACUGCUUGUACCACUGAUCCAGAACUGUGGACGUGGAAUGGUGAUUGUGCUUGUGUGUGGUUGUCCUAUAGGAGAAGGCAGAAUGCAGAGUGCCAUUAAUAUCAGGAAUAAUAUACAGCAAUUAUACAAUGACAUUGCAUGACACCACUUACAAUUUAAACCACAGUUCAAAGGCAUCACUUUACAACACAGUUCACGACAGAUACAGGCCCUAUUCUAAAGUACCGCUAGGUGGCAGUAGUAACACAUUAAUGACUAGGGCAUAACUUCAUAACUGAACGGUGGAAUCGCCAACAUCGGAAAAGGGUUGGGCAUAAUUCUGACUAACAUGCACUGGCGCCAUUUUAUGCUUAACUAACUAAUAAUCACUAACUCUCAUAAAAGGCUUAUACACUAAAAAGGCACGCUUAGGUGCUAUAAUAACCCAAAUCGUAUACAUAGGCACACACAAACAUAAUACACUGGGUGUGUAUUAACUCCUUUAAAUAACGAAAUGACUUCUGUGACUGCAACAUGUCAUCCACUAAUAAAGGAUGGGUCGCGGAUGUUGUUUUUUAAAUCACACUGUGGCAAGAAAGGAGGUCCAUGAAGAGAACAUGGACAGCAACUCGAAGCCCGAGUUCUCGUGGAGUAAAGUCUUAUGAAGGAAUCUGGAAUGUAGUGAACACCAUGCCAUCUUCCAGUCCGUGUAUUCGUGCUGUGGGAUUCCAGUUCCGUGUUUUACAGUAGCCAGACGGCGGGAGGGAUAUGCCAUGUGAAUUGCAGUAUGUAAUGCCAGCAUUUACUUCUGAGUAAAGUUAAACUAAAGUAUACGAACGCCCCGACCUCAGUUCUUAUAGACAUAAGCAAUCUAAAUAAAUGGAUGUUACAAAAUCAAAUGUCUUAGUCAACUGAAUUGAGAUGAAAUGAAUCGUGGAGAAUCACGGACAAACUGAAUUGGUCCACCCACACAGACAGCGUGGUGAAGAAGGCGCAACAGCGCCUCUUCAACCUCAGGAGGCUGAAGAAAUUUGGCUUGUCACCAAAAACACUCACAAACUGUUACAGAUGCACAAUCGAGAGCAUCCUGUCAGGCUGUAUCACAGCCUGGUACAGCAACUGCUCCGCCUACAACCGUAAGGCUCUCCAGAGGGUAGGUCGUGAGGUCUGCACAAUGCAUCACUGGGGGCAAACUACCUGCUCUCCAGGACACCUACACCACCCGAUGUCACAGGAAGGCCAAAAAGAUAAUCAAGAACAACAACCACCCGAGCCACUGCCUGUUCACCCCGCUAUCAUCCAGAAGGCGAGAGCCAGGACCCUCUUCAAGUGACACAGUUUUUUCAGGGAGGAGUGUGGAAGUGGAGGAAGAGGUGAAAGACAGUACCAAUGCAGAUUAUGUGGAUGGAGCAAAUGAGAGAAGGUGCACAGAAAGAGACAGACAAAGUGAGGAUAUUGAAAAACAAGCUGAUCAGUGACUUUGCUAACAAGAAGGCUCAGCGCUGGGCUCUUGGUGAGUAAGGCUGAGCAAGGGCCAGUGAUAACUGACUGUUAAAUGGCAUGGCUAUGGAUAUUGGAUCACCACACACAUGAUGCCCACAGGCUGAAAACAGACUGAGAACAAGAUAUAUCUCAAAGUAAUGGCUGGAUUGCCAUACAUUUUCUUGUGCCUAAUCAAGACCCCAAGUGGAAGAAACCUAUUGAUUUGGUGACCUCUUGACCUUUCGUCUAUCGCCACCAUCAGGCCUUUUCCUUUCCAUUUCCACUUUUACAGCUGCUUAUUUUCUAGUUGGUUUCACUCCUCUAAUCCUGGCUGCUACAGAGGAUCAUGUUGAAGUGGAGUUCCUGCUGGAUAAAGGGAGGGGGCAUCGAAAGCCCAGUCUGAGAGAACCAAAAACACAAUAUGGACAAACAGGUUGGUUCUCUCAGUAUCACUGAAGGUCUUACAUGUGUUGACUUGUUCUGCUUUUUUACAACUUUGCAUAGUUGACCUGGAUGGAUGUCACACUACUAACAAAUGCAAAACUGGAAGCUGUGGCUGCGGCUAUGGUCAUUAUUGCGUUUAUAAACAGUGUGAGGUAAAAAAAUAUGUAUUCACCUUAUUUGGUGGAUAUUUAACAAUUAUUUACUUAACAAACAGUAAGAUAUAUCUGUCCCUGCUAAUGCUGAGUUUUAUGGUGUCCACUAGCUUCCUGCAGCUAGUCGAGGACAUGGGUAAUACAAGAGAUGGCUUGAAGCUGCCAGUUGAUUGAUGUCUCAGUGAUAAAAAAAAAUCAAACAUCCACAUUCCAUUCUAUGAUUAGUGGUGCACGUGAGCCUGCAUUCCAUAGACAAGCUAUGGUGUAUGUUUAGCUGGAAUAGAGAGGAGUAGAACAAAAGCCUGAAUGGUCCUUAGACAUCCUGGUGUCUGGGAAAUUAGGCUGGGGGUUAAGAUAAUGCCAGGGCCAGAUAAAGACAGGAUGAGCCCAACGUGACUUUAUGGUGACCUUUCUCUCUUUGAAUUUUACCUUUAUUUCACUAGGCAAGUCAGUUUAGAACAAAUUCUUAUUUUCAAUGACGGCCUAGGAACAGUGCCUUGUUCAAGGGCAGAACGACAGAUAGUUUACUUUGUCAGCUCGGGGAUUUGAUCUUGCAACCUUUCAGUUACUAGUCCAACGCUCUAACCACUAGGCUACCUGCCGCCCCUAUGGGACGGGUGGAACCAAGCAUUCUGGGUAUUAGCUAUAUUAACUGUGCAUUGUCUGUCAAGGGAAGACUCUCAGUCCAGCAGUCUAGACUGUUGGGCUGACGGUAUCAUUAUCGGGUGGCCUGGUAAAAUAUAUAUUUUUUGCAAUACUGAAUUGAUAUAAAAUAAACAGGAUUGUUUGAAGAAAUGACCAAGUCUCUCAGAGUACUGAAUGUCCACAACACAGGAAAAUAAAUGCACUGCUGUGAAGGAUUCUGGCUGACCCAAAUACUUUAAAUGACACAAUUACAUAAGGAGACAGCCUUACGACAGGAAAACUGAACACUGUCCUUCACAAGAUGAAUAAAAUGAUUAUUUGAUUACAACUGAUUUAUCAUAAACUAAUAAUUACUACAUGUUGACUACACAUUUUGUUACUCUUUCCUGAUAUGAUUUUAUAGGUUAUAGCCUUGUCGGGCACAAACACUUGUAGCUGAAUGCAUUACUAACAACAUCUCAGACAUACCCAUGCGAUUUCAUUAUGCACAUCUCACAAAUCAUUUACAUAAACGCUACAUUUUUUGGUACUUCUUCCUGUUGACAGUUGCAAGCGGUACAAAUGGAUUCAUACAUGUUCUUCCCUUCAUUUUAGUCUAGGUGCCAGUUGCCACAUCGUAAAUGGUAUACUGUGCAGGGGUUUCUCUCUAUACUGUAUAAUAUUACUUGCUGAUGAAAAGGAAAUCAUAUGAUGUUACACGUGUAGAUGUAGAGGGAUAAAGGUGAUGACUUAUUCCACCCCAGGCUUAAACAAGAGCUUGGAGAGCACAGAUGUCAUAGAAUCAGGUUUCAAUUUACGAACAAGAUUAGAACUCUACAUUUUAGUUCAAUGUACUUUGGUUUACAGUGCACACAAAUAACUGUGUACGUCCAUCAAGGGGUGUGUGUGUUUGCAAUCCAAACAAAGCCCUAUUCUGCAGUAUUUGCUGGCCUUGGGUUGAGUUGUACUCUCCUAACCUUGUCUUCCUGCCAUGACGAGUCCAGGGUCAAGAGGAAGAAGUCCCUGAGCUUGUUUCUUGUUUCACUUGCAAGCCGAGUCUCGCUGGCUCUUGGAGAUUGUUGUCCUCUGCCAAAACCCUCCUCCACUCUCCAGGUUGGUAGUUGGCUCAUGAGCUUCAUCUGUGGAAGACAGGUAGUUGUGGAGGCCACGCAUGCCUUCACAAUGGUCUUAGCCUUUUCAGGGGUACACUCGAUUGGACAACCAAGAAUCCUAAUCUUUGCAGCCAUGACGCCGAAUGCAUUCUCUAUGACUCUCCGACAACGAGAGUGGCAGUAGUUCUAGGUACGCCCAGGUUAAUUGAUAUGGACAACUGAAUGAAAGGUAACAAAAUAAUAAAUGUCGGAUAUAAAAUGAAGCCGAUUUGGUCAAGAACAAAAAACACCAUACCAUUUACCAGUAACCAUAUUCCAAAAGCUUUGAUAUAAAGCCAAAAGACUCCUGGACGUCUAG